Molecule: ribosomal RNA, 450 nt
Filed under: uncultured bacterium
Lineage: Bacteria
Description: bacterial SSU rRNA
Rfam family: Bacterial small subunit ribosomal RNA
Source: RNAcentral
CCCAGACUCCUACGGGAGGCAGCAGUGGGGAAUAUUGGGCAAUGGGCGCAAGCCUGACCCAGCAACGCCGCGUGAAGGAAGAAGGCUUUCGGGUUGUAAACUUCUUUUCUUGGGGACGAAGAAAGUGACGGUACCCAAGGAAUAAGCCACGGCUAACUACGUGCCAGCAGCCGCGGUAAUACGUAGGCGGCAAGCGUUAUCCGGAUUUAUUGGGUUUAAAGGGUGCGUAGGCGGACGCUUAAGUCAGCGGUAAAAUUGCGGGGCUCAACCCCGUCGAGCCGUUGAAACUGGGUGCCUUGAGUGGGCGAGAAGUAUGCGGAAUGCGUGGUGUAGCGGUGAAAUGCAUAGAUAUCACGCAGAACUCCGAUUGCGAAGGCAGCAUACCGGCGCCCAACUGACGCUGAAGCACGAAAGCGUGGGUAUCGAACAGGAUUAGAUACCCCAGUAGAG